AUAGCGUAUAUUAUGUUGCUGCAGUUAAAAAGCUCGUAGUUGGAUUUCUGACUUGGCGCACCUGGCCCGCCACGGUUACGUGUGUGAGUGCCGGGAUGCGCCUGUCACUUUUCUAGUAAACUAUUGUGCUCUUCAUUGAGUGUGAUAGGUAGCUAGAUAUUUUACUUUGAAAAAAUUAGAGUGUUUAAAGCAGGCGUUUGCUAUGAAUACAUUAGCAUGGAAUAAUAAGUUAGGACUUCGGUUCUAUUUUGUUGGUUUCUAGGACUGAAGUAAUGAUUGAUAGGGAUAGUUGGGGGUGCUAGUAUUCAGCGGCCAGAGGUGAAAUUCUCGGAUUCGCUGAAGACUAACUUAUGCGAAAGCAUUCACCAAGGAUGUCUUCUUUAAUCAAGAACGAAAGUUGGGGGAUCGAAGACGAUCAGAUACCGUCGUAGUCUCAACCAUAAACUAUGCCGACUAGGGAUGAGUGAACGUUGCAUAAUCGACUUCAUUCGCACCUUAUGAGAAAUCAAAGUCCUUGGGUUCCGGGGGGAGUAUGGUCGCAAGGCUGAAACUUAAAGGAAUUGACGGAAGGGCACCACCAGGAGUGGAGCCUGCGGCUUAAUUUGACUCAACACGGGGAAACUUACCAGGUCCAGACUCAGUGAGGAUUGACAGAUUGAAGUUCUUUCUUGAUUCUA
RNAcentral lists this precursor RNA (677 nucleotides) under uncultured Cercozoa. RNAcentral describes it as "partial 18S ribosomal RNA". It matches the Rfam family "Eukaryotic small subunit ribosomal RNA", at positions 594 to 1270 of the family's 1831-position model. Lineage: Eukaryota; Cercozoa. The record is from RNAcentral.